UGGAAGGUGAGAGACAGCGAGUGAAGGAGGAACUUGCCAAACACUUAAAACCAUCAGAUCUUAUGAGAACUCACACACUAUCACAAGAACAGCAUGGGGGACACCAUGCCCAUAAUCCAAUCACCUCCC
This is a long non-coding RNA of Sapajus apella (tufted capuchin), 129 nucleotides long. RefSeq lists it as uncharacterized. The transcript is spliced from 3 exons. The record is from RefSeq and is a predicted model, not a curated record. Lineage: Eukaryota; Metazoa; Chordata; Mammalia; Primates; Cebidae.